Molecule: ribosomal RNA, 437 nt
Filed under: uncultured bacterium
Lineage: Bacteria
Description: bacterial SSU rRNA
Rfam family: Bacterial small subunit ribosomal RNA
Source: RNAcentral
GAACGCGAAGAACCUUACCUGGGCUUGACAUACACCAGAUCGCCGUAGAGAUACGGUUUCCCUUUGUGGUUGGUGUACAGGUGGUGCAUGGUUGUCGUCAGCUCGUGUCGUGAGAUGUUGGGUUAGGUCCCGCAACGAGCGCAACCCUUGUCUUAUGUUGCCAGCACGUUAUGGUGGGGACUCGUGAGAGACUGCCGGGGUUAACUCGGAGGAAGGUGGGGAUGACGUCAAAUCAUCAUGCCCCUUAUGUCCAGGGCUUCACACAUGCUACAAUGGUCGGUACAACGCGUCUGCGAGCCUGUGAGGGUGAGCUAAUCGCUGUAAAGCCGGUCGUAGUUCGGAUUGGGGUCUGCAACUCGACCCCAUGAAGUCGGAGUCGCUAGUAAUCGCAGAUCAGCAACGCUGCGGUGAAUACGUUCCCGGGUCUUGUACACACC